This 185-nucleotide non-coding RNA is filed under the name Fictibacillus enclensis. RNAcentral's name for it is "Bacillus sp. NIOC03 Bacterial small subunit ribosomal RNA". It matches the Rfam family "Bacterial small subunit ribosomal RNA", at positions 1 to 182 of the family's 1533-position model. The record is from Rfam by way of RNAcentral. Lineage: Bacteria; Bacillati; Bacillota; Bacilli; Caryophanales; Fictibacillaceae.
UUAUUGGAGAGUUUGAUCCUGGCUCAGGAUGAACGCUGGCGGCGUGCCUAAUACAUGCAAGUCGAGCGAAUGACGAGGAGCUUGCUCCUCUGAUUUAGCGGCGGACGGGUGAGUAACACGUGGGUAACCUGCCUGUAAGACGGGGAUAACUCCGGGAAACCGGAGCUAAUACCGGAUGAUAACGA